RNAcentral lists this ribosomal RNA (508 nucleotides) under uncultured bacterium. RNAcentral describes it as "bacterial SSU rRNA". It matches the Rfam family "Bacterial small subunit ribosomal RNA", at positions 34 to 540 of the family's 1533-position model. The record is from RNAcentral.
GAUGAACGCUGGCGGCGUGCCUCAAACAUGCAAGUCGAGCGGGGCUAUGUAAUAUCGCAAGGUAGAACAUAGCCUAGCGGCGAACGGGUGAGUAACACGUGGGUAACCUGCCUGGAAGACAGGGAUAACGAUUCGAAAGGGUCGCUAAUACCUGAUAAUAUCCUUUCAUCGCAUGGUGAUAGGAAGAAAGGGGAAACCCGCUUUCAGAUGGGCCCGCGUCCCAUCAGCUAGUUGGUAAGGUAAAGGCUUACCAAGGCGACGACGGGUAGCCGGUCUGAGAGGAUGUACGGCCACACUGGGACUGAGAUACGGCCCAGACUCCUACGGGAGGCAGCAGUUGGGAAUCUUAGGCAAUGGACGAAAGUCUGACCUAGCGACGCCGCGUGAGGGAAGAAGGCCUUCGGGUUGUAAACCUCUGUCAUGGGGAAGAAGAAGUGACGGUACCCAACGAGGAAGCCCUGCUAACUACGUGCCAGCAGCCGCGGUAAGAGUAGUAGACUCGAGCGGC